UCUAUCCCUAGGGGCAUUGCAGGUAUGAUUGCUGCAUCACAUGUAGAUCAGUAAGCAUCAGAGAGGAAAGAGGCUAUGUCUAUGUUCAGUGUUCUGACCUGUGAACAUCUGAAUGAUUAGUAGCCAAACACU
This is a small nucleolar RNA of Acomys russatus (golden spiny mouse), 132 nucleotides long. RefSeq annotates it as small nucleolar RNA SNORA17. The transcript has a single exon. NCBI's taxonomy places the organism in Eukaryota, Metazoa, Chordata, Mammalia, Rodentia, Muridae. The record is from RefSeq and is a predicted model, not a curated record.